Balaenoptera musculus (blue whale) is the source of this 2102-nucleotide long non-coding RNA. RefSeq lists it as uncharacterized. The record is from RefSeq and is a predicted model, not a curated record. Lineage: Eukaryota; Metazoa; Chordata; Mammalia; Artiodactyla; Balaenopteridae. The transcript has 3 exons.
AAGUUAUAGACUUGGAAAAAAAAAGAGCCCUAUGUUUCCAACACAGAAUAUUUCCAUCUUUACAGAAUGUUCUCUUGGGCAGCUUUGAGCCUGGCUCACGGUCUGUUCACUGAAGUCCUUUAAUACAAAGUACAUCUAUAACAGUUGGAAUUUGAGGGUUAUCCCUUUGGAGGCUAGAGCUAGAAGGAUCUGGUGGAAACGGGGAAGUGACAAGUUGAAGGCAGAUCCUCUCUCUUGGUGAAGGUUUGCAACUGUGAUCAAUGUCUUGGUGAAGGGCUCUGGCUCCAGGGAGCCCAGGGAAGGCUGAGAACCCAGAGGAAGGAGCCAGAUGAUGCUGAGUGAGCCAGCAUGGCCUCCACUGGAGGGGGAGGCACGGGUGAGCCGCUCUCUCUAAUAACUUUAUUGCUCAUGUUUGUGUCUCUGAAGAAUGGCUUGUGGAGAGCAUAUACGACUCAAGCGAGGACGAAGACUCUCUAGGUAGGGAACCACUCAGGUAGGAUUCAAGGGGAGAAGGAUCCUGGGAGAAGCUGCUGCUUUGGAGACUGGGGAGGAAGGAAGUAAAAUCAAAGAGAAAAAGGAAAUGUGUGUUCUUUUCAUGUUUUCAUGACAUAAGAAUAAGAUCUCUCAUGUCUCUUGCUUUGGGGGCUUUGGAUGUACUGUUUGUAGUUAUCUUUUCUUGCUUUAGUAUUUAAAGCUUAUCUUUCCCCCAAGACCUGCUGUUUUCUGCUUCGACCACUGCCAAACACCAAAGCCUUUGGUUGUGUUUGGUUGGCAUCUCUUGGGAAUUGAGCACUAGCGUUCUGGGGUUGGGUUUUGGGGUUGACUUACAAUGCAGGCUAUCUGGUGGGACACGACUCCCUCACAGACACUUGAACCUGCACAGUCCUUCGUGUGUGAUCCAGGUGCUGGGUGAGAAGCAGACAUUCUCCCUCUGCACGUUUAGGUCUUGUGGCAGCACCUUCAUGUCCUGUCCUCAGGUUUACUCCUGGUUUAAGGGCGCUGCCAGGGGUGGGGAAGUUAGAGGGGGCAGCAGGGACCCAAGUUCUCACCUCCACCCUAACUCUGUGCUUUCUCUUCCCAAGGCUACUCCAUCACCAUCACUGCCCUGGUACCUGCUGAAGCCUGUGUUAUAGAUUCUGAGGAUUAGGAUACAGAGACCAGCAAUCGGCACGUAAUUUAUUUCCUACUUAUGUCUCUCUUUUUAUUCUGUUUAUUUCCUAUCCGUAGACUCCUCUCUGUAGCUCUUCCCUGUUCCCUCUUUUUAUGAUUCUCAUCCUGAAGGGCCUGGUCUCAUCCAGGCACCUGAGGUCCUGGGAACUUCAAUGUCUAUAAAAUCUUUCUCCAGCCCUCCUUCCCCGCUCUCUCAGUGUCAUCCUGGCCUGUCUGCACCCUUGAGCCAUGUUGAGCAACCCUGAGUGGCCCAGGCAUAGAGGUGGGCUGGGCGUCAGAAGAGCUGUGUACCCUCUUCUGCGGGGGUUCUUCUGCACUGGAUGUCUCUGGACAUGCACAGUUGUUUUCUGCCUUUCAGCUCUCAAGAUUACACAAUUUUUUAAAAAAGGAUUAUCCCAUCAGGAAUCUGAUUCCAGAAAUCCUCUCAUCCUGGAUUCAAGAGAAUGAAUCAAGAAAGUAAAAGGAGAUGAAAAAGAACAAGAAGAGGAAAUUGGCCACAGAGCAGAACGGGCACAAUGAACGCGUCCAUGGGACUCCCUCUGUGUUGAAUCGAUGCACCAGAGGCAGCAGACAUAUCCGCAUUUCAGUGGCUACUAGAAAAUUUAUAAUUAGAUAUGUGGGUUACAUUCUCCUGGACAUCCUGGUCUAGACUCAGAGACCCUCCAACUUCCGCCAGCUGGUCCGAGUCGGCUGUGGCUCAGAUCCCCAGCAGCAGCUGAGAGGUUGAAUCAGUCAACGGGGGAAACUCGGUUCACCAUGUGGUAGAGGACUCCAACCAGGAUCUGAUUAAGGAAAAAGAGCAUCAUCUCUCCAGCCUGGGUGCUGAAACCUAGUCCUGCCUACAGCUCCUGGAGCAGAGGGCCCAAGGGUCCCUAAGUGUACACAAUAGGUCUGGGAUUGAGCUGGCCUCGGCAACACUUGCUCUAUUAAUA